UACGGAGGAUCCAAGCGUUAUCCGGAUUUAUUGGGUUUAAAGGGUGCGUAGGUGGCUUAUUAAGUCAGGGGUGAAAGACGGUAGCUUAACUAUCGCAGUGCCUUUGAUACUGAUGAGCUUGAAUGAACUAGAGGUAGGCGGAAUGUGACAAGUAGCGGUGAAAUGCUUAGAUAUGACUUAGAACACCAAUUGCGAAGGCAGCUUGCUAAACAAACAUUGACGCUGAGGCACGAAAGCGUGGGGAUCAAACAGG
Molecule: ribosomal RNA, 253 nt
Filed under: uncultured bacterium
Lineage: Bacteria
Description: partial 16S ribosomal RNA
Rfam family: Bacterial small subunit ribosomal RNA
Source: RNAcentral